AGACAUAAUGGCAAUGGAACGACCAUCAAUCUCAACAUGUCUGAUUGUAACAGACCCUUGGCCCCCUUUGUUGGGUUUAUUUUUUCCUUUAGCCAUUUUACAGCUAGAACAAACGGUGAGUCAUCAGCAACAAUAAAAUACCCAGCAGCAUCAUCAGCACCAAACCAACCCAGCACCUACAGCAGCCACAGCCCCAAACAAAACCCAACAAAUAGACCCAACGUAAACCCACACAAAAGUUACCCAGUGUGAACAAAAAUUGCAACAGUAAACCCAGAAACAGAGCAAGAUCAGCAUCAAGCCCAGUGCAUAUUGUAAGUUAUUUCCAAAAAA
This 333-nucleotide long non-coding RNA is filed under the name Actinidia chinensis (golden kiwifruit). RNAcentral's name for it is "long non-coding RNA (ACHI_LNC007254)". Lineage: Eukaryota; Viridiplantae; Streptophyta; Magnoliopsida; Ericales; Actinidiaceae. The record is from RNAcentral.